This is a long non-coding RNA of Cucurbita maxima (winter squash), 204 nucleotides long. RefSeq lists it as uncharacterized. Lineage: Eukaryota; Viridiplantae; Streptophyta; Magnoliopsida; Cucurbitales; Cucurbitaceae. The transcript is spliced from 2 exons. The record is from RefSeq and is a predicted model, not a curated record.
CCAAGAGUGGCAACUUAUGAGGCAUUGUACUUUAAGGAGGUGAUACCCCUCUCAUGCUGCCUUUGAUAUCAAUUCUUAGUAUUUUUGGAUUAUGAAUGAUGCAUACUUCUUAGAUAAUUACUGUUCAUCUUACUAUCUCGUGUAUCUCGUGAUCAAGAGAGGUAAUUUACCAUCUCGUGAUCAAGAGAGGUAUUCACGCAACUU